Molecule: RNA transcript, 3044 nt
Organism: Oryza sativa Japonica Group (Japanese rice)
Lineage: Eukaryota; Viridiplantae; Streptophyta; Magnoliopsida; Poales; Poaceae
Gene name: phosphatidylinositol 4-phosphate 5-kinase 1
Source: RefSeq, a predicted model, not a curated record
GGCGGAAAUCCACACGGAAAACCCCGUCAAAAUAGGCCCAUCCGCCGAGACGAUCAUGCAGGCGAGGCGACGACCACCCCCCACCCCCACGCCGCUGCCGCGUGCCGCCGCGCUUUUUAUACGAGUUCCAGCUCCGCCGCGAGUCCGCGACUGCUGCUGCUACUGCUACUACCCUAGCCUAGUAGUAGUACUACUACUGCUACUUCUUCCCCGGUCGCGGCCGCCUGCCUGCCUGACAUCGCUUCGCGUGCCAAAGCCGACGCGCGCAAAAGCAACCAAAAGCGAAAGCAAGACCACCGCCUGCUUGCUGCUCGGUCUCUCACUCUCACGGUCUCACCUCCUCCUCCUCCUCAAAGCCAGCCAUUCGUCUCCUCGUCUCGUUUCGUUUCGCUUCAUCUCGUCAUCGAUGCGCUCCCCUAGAAUGAGAGAAACCUAGGACUAGUACUGCGUCACCAUAGAAGGCGAAUCACUACUCUGCCCCGGAUCGACCACCCACGCCGCCGUGAUUGGGAGAGGAGACGGACGCGCAUGCCGCCGCAGCAGGGGGAGUGCUGCCGCCACGGCUGGCUCGGCGUGGGGGAGGCCGCGGUGGGCGGCGGCGGGGAGGAGCCGUUCUACGUGCCGCUGCGCAAGCGGCUGUCGGUGGACGGCAAGGCAUCCACGGCGCCGCGGAUAUGCAUCUGGGAGUGCGACGGCGAGGCCGGGGACAUCACCUGCGACAUCGUCGCCGCGCCGCUCCGCCGCAGCUGCAGCGCCAAGGCAAUGCCGCCGCCGGCCCCGCUCUUCCGGAUGAUGACGCCGCCGCCGCCGAGGCCGCAGAGAGGGGACGGGGAGGAGGCCAGGAGGCCCGGGGAGGCCAUCCGCAAGGGGCACCGGAGCUACAGCCUCAUGCUCAACCUGCAGCUUGGCAUAAGCUAUUCGGUGGGGAAGUCGUCGGCGCUGCCGUUCCAGAAGCUCGCCGCGUCGGACUUCGACCCGCGGGAGAAGGUAUGGACACGGUUCCCGCCGGAGGGGUCCAAGUUCACGCCGCCGCAUCACUCGGUGGAUUUCCGGUGGAAGGACUACUGCCCUGCCGUCUUCAGGCACCUGAGGAAGCUGUUCGGGGUGGACCCUGCGGAGUACAUGCUCGCCAUCUGCGGCAACGACACGCUCCGGGAGCUGGCGUCCCCGGGCAAGAGCGGGAGCUGCUUCUUCAUCACGCAGGACGAUCGGUUCAUGAUUAAAACCGUGAAAAAGUCCGAAGUGAAGGUUCUUAUCCGGAUGUUGCGGAGUUACUACGAACAUGUUCGUCAGUAUAAGUCCACUUUACUAACAAGGUUUUAUGGCACACAUUGCAUUAAGCAAGCUGGCUGCCCCAAGGUCCGGUUCAUUAUAAUGGGCAAUUUUUGCUGUUCGGAAUAUAAGAUCCAUAGGCGUUUUGAUCUGAAAGGUUCCUCACAUGGUCGGACUAUCGACAAAACAGAGCGCAAGAUUGAUGAAACCACUACUCUCAAGGACCUCGACCUUCAGUAUGCAUUUCGGUUGCAGAGAUUUUGGUACGAGGAGCUUAUGAAGCAAAUUCAGAUGGACUGCACAUUCUUGGAGACACAGGGCAUUAUGGACUAUAGCCUAUUGUUAGGAGUUCACUUUCGUAAUGAUUACUCAGUGUCUAAAAUAGGCAUAUCUCAGCACAUAGCUUUCCCAAAAUCUACUGGCAAAAGAAAAUCAUUUGAAGGUGGAAGCAGUUUUUGUGAGCUCUGCUUUGUGGAAUCAGGUUGCAAAGACAGAGAUUUGAUAGACUCUCGGAAGCCAUUCAUCCAGUUGGGAAUUAACAUGCCUGCCCAGGCAGAGCGCAGCUCAAAAAAAAUAUUAGAUAAUUUUCUCCUAAAUGAAAGACACUUGUUCAUAACCCCACCAAGUGGAGGAUCAUGUGAUGUCUACCUCUUCUUUGGGAUAAUCGACAUUCUUCAGGACUAUGAUAUAACGAAGAAAUUGGAACAUGCCUACAAGUCCUUCCAGGUCAACCCUGACUACAUUUCUGCUGUAGACCCAAAGCUAUACUCGAGAAGGUUUCAGGAUUUCAUCCGCAGGGUGUUCAUAAAAGAGCAGUAAGAAAAAGUCAUUGGGUUCAAUGGUAACUAUCCCACUGACUUCUUACAUCAUGAGAUCCAUUGGUGAAGUUUAGGCUAUGAUCGUAUUGCCAAUCCCGAGCAUGCCUGAAACAGUGAAAACCGCAAAUGAUGGUUGGUUUUACCAUACGCACAGUAUUCUGAAUAAUUGGGGUCAACGAGCUCCGCCGACACGCAUGCUAAUAUCGGAUGGAUGGGAGCUAAAACUAUGUAUAGCUCGGCCUUUUGGAAGACCUGUAAACCAUGACAAUUUCCUUGGCAGAGCUGUAUGGCUGGGUUUUCAAGUAAUGUCAUGUUCAUAGUUCAGAAAAGGAAAAGAAGUUGUUUGCUGUAGACAUUGUUGCCUUCUUUGCAAGCAUUUGCAGCUUAUCUUUCGCUCGUGCCUGCCUGGUGUGACCACAGUCGAGAGAAGGCAGUGUCAAUGUGUCACUUGUACAGUUGUAGUACUCCUCCACCAUUGGCCUUGUGAACUGAAGGUAGAAAUAAAGCGGAAGGGAGGCGACAGGCAUCAAAAGGAGAGAAAGCAGGUGCAGGGAAGAUGCUGGGACAGAUCUGGUCUGCUCCUGUGACUUGUGUCUAAACAUUUUUCUCUCCUGUCCUUCUCUCUGCAUUACCUGGCCUUUUCUCGGCUCUACUUUGUUUCCCAUGCCAAGGCCUCUAGUCCAUUUCUCCUUCUCCAUCCUGUGCUCUUUUUUUGCAUGCUUUGCUUUGCUUUGCUUUGGCCUGGAGUCAUGCAUGACUGGUAGGAGCAGACCAGGUGAGAAGAAAUUCAGAAAUUACGGGGCUGAAGUGUGAUGCAUGCUGCUUUCACGCAUGACUCAUCAGAUGCAGCAAUGCAUGACUGAUCUGACUCUAUUGUGGCUGUAAAAUAGGAUGGGUACUAAUUGGGUAAAUACUAAGGCUCUGUUUAGAUCUAAAGUUUGGAUCCAAACUUCA